AAAGUCGUAACAAGGUUUCCGUAGGUGAACCUGCGGAAGGAUCAUUAUUGAAUAAACCUGAUGUGGCUGUUAGCUGGCUUUUCGAAGCAUGUGCUCGUCCGUCAUCUUUAAUCUCUCCACCUGUGCACAUUUUGUAGUCUUGGAUACCUCUCGAGGCAACUCGGAUUUUAGGAUCGCCGUGCUGUAAAAGUCAGCUUUCCUCUCAUUUCCAAGACUAUGUUUUUAUAUACACCAAARCAUGUUUAAAGAAUGUCAUCAAUGGGAACUUGUUUCCUAUAAAAUUAUACAACUUUCAGCAACGGAUCUCUUGGCUCUCGCAUCGAUGAAGAACGCAGCGAAAUGCGAUAAGUAAUGUGAAUUGCAGAAUUCAGUGAAUCAUCGAAUCUUUGAACGCACCUUGCGCUCCUUGGUAUUCCGAGGAGCAUGCCUGUUUGAGUGUCAUUAAAUUCUCAACCUUCCAGCUUUUAUUAGCUUGGUUAGGCUUGGAUGUGGGGGUUGUGGGCUUCAUUAAUGAGGUCAGCUCUCCUUAAAUGCAUUAGUGGAACUUUUGUGGACCGUCUAUUGGUGUGAUAAUUAUCUACGCCGUGGAUGUGAAGCAGCUUUAUGAAGUUCAGCUUCUAAUCGUCCAUUGACUUGGACAAUUUUUGACAAUUUGACCUCAAAUCAGGUAGGACUACCCGCUGAACUUAA
Molecule: ribosomal RNA, 690 nt
Filed under: uncultured Laccaria
Lineage: Eukaryota; Fungi; Basidiomycota; Agaricomycetes; Agaricales; Tricholomataceae
Description: eukaryotic LSU rRNA
Rfam family: 5.8S ribosomal RNA (bases 288-441)
Source: RNAcentral